This 1200-nucleotide ribosomal RNA is filed under the name Streptococcus mutans. RNAcentral describes it as "bacterial SSU rRNA". It matches the Rfam family "Bacterial small subunit ribosomal RNA", at positions 8 to 1182 of the family's 1533-position model. Lineage: Bacteria; Bacillati; Bacillota; Bacilli; Lactobacillales; Streptococcaceae. The record is from RNAcentral.
GGAGAGUUUGAUCCUGGCUCAGGACGAACGCUGGCGGCGUGCCUAAUACAUGCAAGUGGGACGCAAGGGAACACACUGUGCUUGCACACCGUGUUUUCUUGAGUCGCGAACGGGUGAGUAACGCGUAGGUAACCUGCCUAUUAGCGGGGGAUAACUAUUGGAAACGAUAGCUAAUACCGCAUAAUAUUAAUUAUUGCAUGAUAAUUGAUUGAAAGAUGCAAGCGCAUCACUAGUAGAUGGACCUGCGUUGUAUUAGCUAGUUGGUAAGGUAAGAGCUUACCAAGGCGACGAUACAUAGCCGACCUGAGAAGGUGAUCGGCCACACUGGGACUGAGACACGGCCCAGACUCCUACGGGAGGCAGCAGUAGGGAAUCUUCGGCAAUGGACGAAAGUCUGACCGAGCAACGCCGCGUGAGUGAAGAAGGUUUUCGGAUCGUAAAGCUCUGUUGUAAGUCAAGAACGUGUGUGAGAGUGGAAAGUUCACACAGUGACGGUAGCUUACCAGAAAGGGACGGCUAACUACGUGCCAGCAGCCGCGGUAAUACGUAGGUCCCGAGCGUUGUCCGGAUUUAUUGGGCGUAAAGGGAGCGCAGGCGGUCAGGAAAGUCUGGAGUAAAAGGCUAUGGCUCAACCAUAGUGUGCUCUGGAAACUGUCUGACUUGAGUGCAGAAGGGGAGAGUGGAAUUCCAUGUGUAGCGGUGAAAUGCGUAGAUAUAUGGAGGAACACCAGUGGCGAAAGCGGCUCUCUGGUCUGUCACUGACGCUGAGGCUCGAAAGCGUGGGUAGCGAACAGGAUUAGAUACCCUGGUAGUCCACGCCGUAAACGAUGAGUGCUAGGUGUUAGGCCCUUUCCGGGGCUUAGUGCCGGAGCUAACGCAAUAAGCACUCCGCCUGGGGAGUACGACCGCAAGGUUGAAACUCAAAGGAAUUGACGGGGGCCCGCACAAGCGGUGGAGCAUGUGGUUUAAUUCGAAGCAACGCGAAGAACCUUACCAGGUCUUGACAUCCCGAUGCUAUUCUUAGAGAUAGGAAGUUACUUCGGUACAUCGGAGACAGGUGGUGCAUGGUUGUCGUCAGCUCGUGUCGUGAGAUGUUGGGUUAAGUCCCGCAACGAGCGCAACCCUUAUUGUUAGUUGCCAUCAUUAAGUUGGGCACUCUAGCGAGACUGCCGGUAAUAAACCGGAGGAAGGUGGGGAUGA